This 400-nucleotide ribosomal RNA is filed under the name uncultured bacterium. RNAcentral describes it as "bacterial SSU rRNA". It matches the Rfam family "Bacterial small subunit ribosomal RNA", at positions 355 to 774 of the family's 1533-position model. The record is from RNAcentral.
UUAGGAAUCUUCCACAGUGGGCGAAAGCCUGAUGGAGCGACGCCGCGUGAGGGAUGAAGGCCUUAGGGUUGUAAACCUCUAAAAGAGGGACGAUAAUGACGGUACCUCUUGAAUAGCACCGGCUAACUCCGUGCCAGCAGCCGCGGUAAUACGGAGGGUGCAAGCGUUAUCCGGAAUCACUGGGCGUAAAGGGCGCGUAGGCGGUCUGUUAAGUCCGAUGUUAAAUCCCGGGGCUCAACCCCGGAUAAGCGUUGGAUACUGGCAGGCUAGACGGUUGGAGAGGCGAGUGGAAUUACCAGUGUAGCGGUGGAAUGCGUAGAUACUGGUAGGAACACCCAUUGCGAAGGCAGCUCGCUGGACAACACGUGACGCUGAGGCGCGAAAGUGUGGGGAGCAAACC